RNAcentral lists this small RNA (582 nucleotides) under Pongo abelii (Sumatran orangutan). Its description in RNAcentral is "retained intron". Lineage: Eukaryota; Metazoa; Chordata; Mammalia; Primates; Hominidae. The record is from RNAcentral.
GAUGACUUAGGUCAACACAAAACUUUUUAUUUUUUAUUUUUGAAUAACAAAUAUAAAUUAGAGGUGGGAUACUAAUGAUAAAAUAAGGUGUCUGCUUUAAAACUCUGGAGUUCCCGAAUCAGAACCCAAACUGUAUUCCCUUACAUUCUGAAAAGUCUCUAAGUUCAGAGGUGUGAAUAUUAUUAAUUAGAUGGCACCAGUUUAGCUCUGUGUAAACUUCAAUCUACUCCCAAGUGCAUGUAAUUCUUCCAAAAAUAUGGGGGAAAAAUACCUUACCUGAAGCUUCUGUGGGAUUUACCUACUUGCUUCUUGUCUUGUUCACCUGACAUUUGGUUUCUGCUUCUUUGUUACAGAAAAGAAGAGGAAAGGCUCAACCAAGAGAAAAAGGUCUCUGUUUAUUUAGAAGACACAGACUAACAAUUUUAGAUGGAAGCUGAUGAUUUCCAAGAACAAGAACCCUAGUAUUUCUUGAGGUUAAUGGAAACUUUUCUUUGGCUUUUCCAGUUGUGACCCGUUUUCCAACCAGUUCUGCAGCAUAUACCUAGACAAGCAACAUCCCUCUGGAGCCAGCACAGUACUCCU